RNAcentral lists this ribosomal RNA (422 nucleotides) under uncultured bacterium. RNAcentral describes it as "partial 16S ribosomal RNA". It matches the Rfam family "Bacterial small subunit ribosomal RNA", at positions 360 to 774 of the family's 1533-position model. The record is from RNAcentral.
AAUAUUUGACAAUGGGGGCAACCCUGAUCCAGCCAUGCCGCGUGUGUGAAGAAGGUCUUCGGAUUGUAAAGCACUUUAAGUUGGGAGGAAGGGCUUUAGGUUAAUACCCUGAAUUUUUUACGUUACCUACCGAAUAAGCACCGGCUAACUCUGUUCCAGCCGCCGCGGUCAUACAGAGGGUGCAAGCGUUAAUCGGAAUUACUGGGCGUAAAGCGCGCGUAGGUGGUUCAGUAAGAUGGGUGUGAAAUCAAAGGGCUGAACCUGGGAACUGCUUUCAGAACUGCUGAGCUAGAGUACGGUAGAGGGUAGUGGAAUUUACUGUGUAGCGGUGAAAUGCGUAGAUAUAGGAAGGAACACCAGUGGCGAAGGCGACUACCUGGACUGAUACUGACACUGAGGUGCGAAAGCGUGGGGAGCAAACA